GGGGGUGACUUGGCUUCGACGGGGAGCAUUCUGGCAGAAGUGGCGCGUCGAGUUCCGUGCUCUCGUUAAACGAGCGGAAACGAAUACACAACAACAACGAAUACGCUUUAGCCGCCUAGUGUGGUUACGUCCACCUGGCCUUGCCGGCGGGGUCAGACUGGGCGUCAAAACAGCCGGAUACUCUGCGUGAAGGCCCCUGGCACGCGGGGGAACCAAAAAAGAGGAUUGGGAUUUGCGCAUCCUGCCUGGGGGAGGCGUACGUCCCGAAAAACAAAACACAGGCUACACGCGUAGAAGCUUCUGUGGGGAUCUUUUCGGACGCGGGUUCAAUUCCCGCCACCUCCAUCA
The sequence is a transfer-messenger RNA, 348 nucleotides long. It matches the Rfam family "transfer-messenger RNA". Rfam says of the family: Bacterial tmRNA, also known as 10Sa RNA or SsrA, is named for its dual tRNA and mRNA-like properties. Its role is to liberate the mRNA from a stalled ribosome. To accomplish this part of the tmRNA is used as a reading frame that ends in a translation stop signal.